RNAcentral lists this transfer RNA (73 nucleotides) under Pleodorina starrii. RNAcentral's name for it is "tRNA-Val". The record is from RNAcentral. Lineage: Eukaryota; Viridiplantae; Chlorophyta; Chlorophyceae; Chlamydomonadales; Volvocaceae.
GACAUAAUGUUGUAGUGGAAUCAUGUCUGUCUCACACACAGGAGGGUCCCCAGAUCGAAGCUGGGUGAUUUCA